UACGAAGGGGGCUAGCGUUGUUCGGAAUUACUGGGCGUAAAGCGCAUGCAGGCGGAUCGUUAAGUCGGGGGUGAAAGCCCGAGGCUCAACCUCGGAAUUGCCUUCGAUACUGGCGAUCUGGAGUCCGGGAGAGGUGAGUGGAACUCCGAGUGUAGAGGUGAAAUUCGUAGAUAUUCGGAAGAACACCAGUGGCGAAGGCGGCUCACUGGCCCGGUACUGACGCUGAGAUGCGAAAGCGUGGGGAGCAAACAGG
Molecule: unclassified non-coding RNA, 253 nt
Filed under: uncultured Alphaproteobacteria bacterium
Lineage: Bacteria; Pseudomonadati; Pseudomonadota; Alphaproteobacteria
Description: contains 16S-23S intergenic spacer region
Rfam family: Bacterial small subunit ribosomal RNA
Source: RNAcentral